RNAcentral lists this unclassified non-coding RNA (285 nucleotides) under plant metagenome. RNAcentral describes it as "partial contains small subunit ribosomal RNA, internal transcribed spacer 1, and 5.8S ribosomal RNA". The stretch from base 1 to 54 matches the Rfam family "Eukaryotic small subunit ribosomal RNA", at positions 1778 to 1831 of the family's 1831-position model. The record is from RNAcentral.
GGAAGUAAAAGACGUAACAAGGUUUCCGUAGGUGAACCUGCGGAAGGAUCAUUAUUGUAUAACCGAGGUGCGAGGGCUAUCGCUGACCCGAAAGGUCGUGCACGCCCGAGUGCCCUCACACACAUCCAUCUCACCCCUAUGUGCACCACCGCGUGGGUCCCCCUUUGGCUUGUUCGGAGGGGGGCUUACGUUUUCACACAAACUUUGUAUGCAGUGUAGAAUGUAUUUUUUGUUUUUGCGAUCACGCAAUCAAUACAACUUUCAACAACGGAUCUCUUGGCUCUC